UUCGGACCUGACUGCUAUCGGAUUGAUACUAAGCCAUGCGAGUCAUUGUAGUAAUACAAGGCAGACGGCUCAGUAACGCGUAGUCAACCUAACCUAUGGACGGGAAUAACCUCGGGAAACUGAGUAUAAUGCCCGAUAGAACAUUAUGCCUGGAAUGGUUUAUGUUCCAAAUGAUUUAUCGCCGUAGGAUGGGACUGCGGCCUAUCAGUUUGUUGGUGAGGUAAUGGCCCACCAAGACUAUUACAGGUACGGGCUCUGAGAGGAGUAGCCCGGAGAUGGGUACUGAGACACGGACCCAGGCCCUAUGGGGCGCAGCAGGCGAGAAAACUUUGCAAUGUGCGAAAGCACGACAAGGUUAAUCCGAGUGGUUUCUGCUAAAGGAACCUUUUGACAGUCCUAGAAACACUGUUGAAUAAGGGGUGGGCAAGUUCUGGUGU
RNAcentral lists this ribosomal RNA (437 nucleotides) under uncultured archaeon. Its description in RNAcentral is "bacterial SSU rRNA". It matches the Rfam family "Archaeal small subunit ribosomal RNA", at positions 16 to 458 of the family's 1478-position model. The record is from RNAcentral.